Molecule: long non-coding RNA, 425 nt
Filed under: Papio anubis (olive baboon)
Lineage: Eukaryota; Metazoa; Chordata; Mammalia; Primates; Cercopithecidae
Description: lncRNA (ENSPANG00000047503.1)
Source: RNAcentral
GACAAGGGUUUCAGGAACACACUUAAAAUCAUUAAAUGAGACAUAGACUUUACCCUGAUUCCUAUGAUCACCUCAGUAAAGAAAAGUGUUCACAGCAAGAAUAAGGUAACCCCUGCUGCAGCCAUUUCAAAAUAUGUCAAAGAAAUAAGAGAUGAAGAUAAAGAAGAAGGAAAUGAAUCCAGCAAAUUUGAGAAUGAAUGGUUAUAGACUAUCAAGAACAUGAGUGUUUAUCACCCAAGGAAUUUGCAUCCUCUUCUGAUAAAAAGGGUCUUGCUCGGUCACCUAGGCUGAGGUGCAGUGGCACAGUGACAGUUCACUAUAACCUUGAACACCUGGGUUCAAGUGAUCUUCCUGCCUUGGCCUUCCAGAGGGCUUGGAUUACAGAGUCUUCCUGUUUACUCACUAUGGACCCAACCUCUCGGUGA